Molecule: ribosomal RNA, 460 nt
Filed under: uncultured bacterium
Lineage: Bacteria
Description: partial 16S ribosomal RNA
Rfam family: Bacterial small subunit ribosomal RNA
Source: RNAcentral
CCUACGGGCGGCAGCAGUGAGGAAUAUUGGUCAAUGGACGAGAGUCUGAACCAGCCAAGUAGCGUGAAGGAUGACUGCCCUACGGGUUGUAAACUUCUUUUAUAUGGGAAUAAAAUGUUCCACGUGUGGGAUUUUGUAUGUACCAUAUGAAUAAGGAUCGGCUAACUCCGUGCCAGCAGCCGCGGUAAUACGGAGGAUCCGAGCGUUAUCCGGAUUUAUUGGGUUUAAAGGGAGCGUAGGUGGAUUGUUAAGUCAGUUGUGAAAGUUUGCGGCUCAACCGUAAAAUUGCAGUUGAAACUGGCAGUCUUGAGUACAGUAGAGGUGGGCGGAAUUCGUGGUGUAGCGGUGAAAUGCUCAGAUAUCACGAAGAACUCCGAUUGCGAAGGCAGUUCACUGGACUGCAACUGACACUGAGGCUCGAAAGUGUGGGUAUCAAACAGGAUUAGAUACCCUAGUAGUC